AAACGGGAGCAGACUAACAGGAUUCCCCUAGUAACUGCGAGUGAAGCGGGAAAAGCUCAAAUUUAAAAUCUGGCAGUCUCUGGCUGUCCGAGUUGUAAUCUAGAGAAGUAAUGCCCGUGCUGGACCGUGUAUAAGUCUCCUGGGAUGGGGCGUCAUAGAGGGUGAGAAUCCCGUCUUUGACACGGACUACCAGUGCAUUGUGGUAUGCUCUCAAAGAGUCGAGUUGUUUGGGAAUGCAGCUCAAAAUGGGUGGUAAAUUCCAUCUAAAGCUAAAUAUUGGCGAGAGACCGAUAGCGAACAAGUACCGUGAGGGAAAGAUGAAAAGAACUUUGGAAAGAGAGUUAAACAGUACGUGAAAUUGCUGAAAGGGAAACGCUUGAAGUCAGUCGCGUUGGCCGGGAAUCAGCCUUGCUCUUGCAUGGUGUACUUUCUGGUUGACGGGUCAGCAUCAAUUUUGACCGCUGGAAAAAGACCUGGGGAAUGUGGCAGCUUCGGCUGUGUUAUAGCCCCUAGUCGCAUACAGUGGUUGGGAUUGAGGAACUCAGCACGCCGCAAGGCCGGGUUUCGACCACGUUCGUGCUUAGGAUGCUGGCAUAAUGGCUUUAAGCGACCCGUCUUGAAACACGGACCAAGGAGUCUAACAUGCCUGCGAGUAUUUGGGUGGAAAACUCAAGUGCGUAAUGAAAGUGAAAGUUGAGAUCCCUGUCGUGGGGAGCAUCGACGCCCGGACCAGAACUUUUGGGACGGAUCCGCGGUGGAGCAUGUAUGUUGGGACCCGAAAGAUGGUGAACUAUGCCUGAAUAGGGUGAAGCCAGAGGAAACUCUGGUGGAGGCUCGUAGCGAUUCUGACGUGCAAAUCGAUCGUCAAAUUUGGGUAUAGGGGCGAAAGACUAAUCGAACCAUCUAUGCAC
This 911-nucleotide ribosomal RNA is filed under the name Agaricus sp. Its description in RNAcentral is "LSU rRNA". It matches the Rfam family "Eukaryotic large subunit ribosomal RNA", at positions 48 to 951 of the family's 3401-position model. Lineage: Eukaryota; Fungi; Basidiomycota; Agaricomycetes; Agaricales; Agaricaceae. The record is from RNAcentral.